CCGUAACUAUAACGGUCCUAAGGUAGCGAAAUUCCUUGUCGGGUAAGUUCCGACCUGCACGAAUGGCGUAAUGAUGGCCAGGCUGUCUCCACCCGAGACUCAGUGAAAUUGAACUCGCUGUGAAGAUGCAGUGUACCCGCGGCAAGACGGAAAGACCCCGUGAACCUUUACUAUAGCUUGACACUGAACAUUGAGCCUUGAUGUGUAGGAUAGGUGGGAGGCUUUGAAGUGUGGACGCCAGUCUGCAUGGAGCCGACCUUGAAAUACCACCCUUUAAUGUUUGAUGUUCUAACGUUGGCCCCUGAUCGGGGUUGCGGACAGUGUCUGGUGGGUAGUUUGACUGGGGCGGUCUCCUCCUAAAGAGUAACGGAGGAGCACGAAGGUUGGCUAAUCCUGGUCGGACAUCAGGAGGUUAGUGCAAUGGCAUAAGCCAGCUUGACUGCGAGCGUGACGGCGCGAGCAGGUGCGAAAGCAGGUCAUAGUGAUCCGGUGGUUCUGAAUGGAAGGGCCAUCGCUCAACGGAUAAAAGGUACUCCGGGGAUAACAGGCUGAUACCGCCCAAGAGUUCAUAUCGACGGCGGUGUUUGGCACCUCGAUGUCGGCUCAUCACAUCCUGGGGCUGAAGUAGGUCCCAAGGGUAUGGCUGUUCGCCAUUUAAAGUGGUACGCGAGCUGGGUUUAGAACGUCGUGAGACAGUUCGGUCCCUAUCUGCCGUGGGCGCUGGAGAACUGAGGGGGGCUGCUCCUAGUACGAGAGGACCGGAGUGGACGCAUCACUGGUGUUCGGGUUGUCAUGCCAAUGGCACUGCCCGGUAGCUAAAUGCGGAAGAGAUAAGUGCUGAAAGCAUCUAAGCACGAAACUUGCC
This 865-nucleotide ribosomal RNA is filed under the name Escherichia coli. RNAcentral describes it as "partial 23S ribosomal RNA". It matches the Rfam family "Bacterial large subunit ribosomal RNA", at positions 1934 to 2798 of the family's 2925-position model. The record is from RNAcentral. Lineage: Bacteria; Pseudomonadati; Pseudomonadota; Gammaproteobacteria; Enterobacterales; Enterobacteriaceae.